This 484-nucleotide ribosomal RNA is filed under the name uncultured bacterium. RNAcentral's name for it is "partial 16S ribosomal RNA". It matches the Rfam family "Bacterial small subunit ribosomal RNA", at positions 30 to 507 of the family's 1533-position model. The record is from RNAcentral.
AUUGAACGCUGGCGGCAUGCCUUACACAUGCAAGUCGAACGGCAGCACGGACUUCGGUCUGGUGGCGAGUGGCGAACGGGUGAGUAAUGUAUCGGAACGUACCUUUCAGUGGGGGAUAACGUAGCGAAAGUUACGCUAAUACCGCAUAUUCUGUGAGCAGGAAAGCAGGGGAUCGAAAGACCUUGCGCUGAUUGAGCGGCCGAUAUCAGAUUAGCUAGUUGGUGGGGUAAAGGCCUACCAAGGCGACGAUCUGUAGCGGGUCUGAGAGGAUGAUCCGCCACACUGGAACUGAGACACGGUCCAGACUCCUACGGGAGGCAGCAGUGGGGAAUUUUGGACAAUGGGGGCAACCCUGAUCCAGCCAUGCCGCGUGAGUGAAGAAGGCCUUCGGGCUGUAAAGCUCUUUCGGCCGGGAAGAAAUCGCAUAGGCUAAUACCCUGUGUGGAUGACGGUACCGGAAGAAGAAGCACCGGCUAACUACGUG